GGGCACAUCCCAUUGACUUGCUUGUCUGAGCAAUGUUGUUUCUCAGGAGCUGCAUAAUAGUUGAAGAUUGAUCAGCAGUAGAAAUGAAGGAUAAAACUGCCAGUGUCCUUCAGACAGGU
RNAcentral lists this small nucleolar RNA (119 nucleotides) under Sorex araneus (European shrew). The record is from RNAcentral. Lineage: Eukaryota; Metazoa; Chordata; Mammalia; Eulipotyphla; Soricidae.